UACAGAGGCCACAAGCGUUAGGCGGAAUCACUGGGCUUAAAGCGUGUGUAGGCGGGAUGGUAAGUACUUUGUGAAAUCCCACGGCUCAACCGUGGAAAUGCUUGGUAUACUGCCGUUCUUGAAUCACCUAGGGGCAGCUGGAACUGAUGGUGGAGCGGUGAAAUGCAUAGAUAUCAUCAGGAACGCCAAUGGUGCAGACAAGCUGCUGGGGGUGUAUUGGACGCUGAGGCACGAAAGCUAGGGGAGCAAACGGG
This 254-nucleotide ribosomal RNA is filed under the name uncultured bacterium. RNAcentral describes it as "partial 16S ribosomal RNA". It matches the Rfam family "Bacterial small subunit ribosomal RNA", at positions 524 to 776 of the family's 1533-position model. The record is from RNAcentral.